UACGGGGGGGGCAAGCGUUGUUCGGAAUUACUGGGCGUAAAGGGCUCGUAGGCGGCCAACUAAGUCAGACGUGAAAUCCCCAGGCUCAACCUGGGAACUGCGUCUGAUACUGGGUGGCUUGAAUCCGGGAGAGGGAUGCGGAAUUCCACGUGUAGCAGUGAAAUGCGUAGAGAUGUGGAGGAACACCGAUGGCGAAGGCAGCCCCCUGGGUCAACACUGACGCUCAUGCACGAAAGCGUGGGGAGCAAACAGG
This 253-nucleotide ribosomal RNA is filed under the name uncultured bacterium. RNAcentral's name for it is "partial 16S ribosomal RNA". It matches the Rfam family "Bacterial small subunit ribosomal RNA", at positions 524 to 776 of the family's 1533-position model. The record is from RNAcentral.